GAUGAACGCUGGCGGCGUGCUUAAGACAUGCAAAGUCGAACGGAGUGUGUAGCAAUACUCACUAAGUGGCGAAUGGGUGAGUAACACGUAGGUGACCUGCCCUGAAGUGCGGAAUAACAGUCCGAAAGGAUUGCUAAUACCGCAUGUGGUCCCGGGCGUUAGAGAACCGGGUCUAAAGCAGUAAUGCGCUUCAGGAGGGGCCUGCGGUCCAUCAGCUAGUUGGUAGGGAAUGGCCUACCAAGGCAACGACGGAUAGGGGACCUGAGAGGGUGGCCCCCCACAUUGGCACUGACACACGGG
RNAcentral lists this ribosomal RNA (300 nucleotides) under uncultured bacterium. RNAcentral describes it as "bacterial SSU rRNA". It matches the Rfam family "Bacterial small subunit ribosomal RNA", at positions 28 to 330 of the family's 1533-position model. The record is from RNAcentral.